CAAAUUAGAGCUUGUUUAAGCAUUUUAUUUACAUUAAAAAGAAAUUUAUUAGUUUAAUUUAAUUUGA
Molecule: transfer RNA, 67 nt
Filed under: Cleroidea sp. 6 KM-2017
Lineage: Eukaryota; Metazoa; Arthropoda; Insecta; Coleoptera
Description: tRNA-Val
Source: RNAcentral